GGGGAGGAAAAGAAACUAACAAGGAUUCCUUUAGUAACGGCGAGUGAAACAGGAUGAGCUCACCUAUAAUCGGCAAUUUUUUGCCGAGUUGUGGUCUGUAGAAGCAUUGUCGGUCGAGGUUCCGGGCUAAGUCUCUUGGAAAAGAGCAGCUGAGAGGGUGACACUCCCGUUCUUGCCUGGGAUCUGCGAUCAUAGCACAUGCCUUCAACGAGUCGAGUUGCUUGGGAUUGCAGCUCAAAUGCGUGGUAUACUCCAUGUAAAGCUAAAUAUAGGUAGGAAACCGAUAGCGCACAAGUACUGUGAAGGAAAGAUGCAAAGAACUUUGAAAAGAGAGUUAAAGAGUACCUGAAACUGUUGAAAGGGAAGCAAAUGGAAACAGUGUGUUUCCGUACCAUUCUUCCUUCGUGGCUUGCCACGGGGGCGCUGUGGUGCGGGAGUGGUCAGCAUGGGUUUGACUCGGAGCAUAUAGCUAUUCAGGAGGCAUCUGUCUUUUCAGAGAUUACUGUUUAGUGUUGUUCUGGGUUGGAUCGAGGUUAGUAUUUCGUGAUGCUGACGAAAUGUUUCUAUUUACCCCGUCUUGAAACACGGACCAAGGAGUCUAACAUGUUCGCGAGUAUCUGAGUGGCAAACUCAUAUGCGCAAUGAAAGUAACAGUGGUAGGACCUUCUGGGGCACUAUCCGCCGGCAUUGAUCCUUCGGGAGAAAGGUCUGAGUGUGAGCAUACAUGUUGGGACCCGAAAGAUGGUGAACUAUGCCUGAAUAGGGUGAAGCCACCG
RNAcentral lists this ribosomal RNA (776 nucleotides) under Chaetoceros curvisetus. RNAcentral's name for it is "partial large subunit ribosomal RNA". It matches the Rfam family "Eukaryotic large subunit ribosomal RNA", at positions 50 to 857 of the family's 3401-position model. The record is from RNAcentral. Lineage: Eukaryota; Bacillariophyta; Thalassiosirophyceae; Chaetocerotales; Chaetocerotaceae.